Molecule: long non-coding RNA, 666 nt
Organism: Salmo salar (Atlantic salmon)
Lineage: Eukaryota; Metazoa; Chordata; Actinopteri; Salmoniformes; Salmonidae
Source: RefSeq, a predicted model, not a curated record
CAAUUUCAAAUGAUUUUCUAACAAGUUUUUAUUUUCUAAGAACAGUUUGAAUUUAGGUGUGUUCCGCCUCCUCAUUCAUUCACAUAAAAAUAGUCAUUUUUUCUUUUGCGGACAAUUUAAUUUUUGGGACAUUUCUGACCCGGACAAAAUUCCCCAAGCACUUUCCAAUUGUUUGUGCAGUUCAAGUCUGCAGACAUUUGCUAAUCUCCCGUCAGAACAGGAUCUGCACACGUGUUCACAUUUUCCAUCUGUUGCCCUCAUUGUUUUCGUUACUAAUAAUAACUUUGGAAAUGUGUGCGUUUCUAUCAAACUACAUGGCCUUAUGACUCCCUAGUGGCGCAGCGGUCAAAGGCACAGCACGGGGUCAAAGGCACAGCACGGUGCUAGAGACGUCACUACAGACUCCCUGGUUCAAAUCCAUGCUGCGUUUCUAAAAACCACAAACAGUAUUUGCCAAUAUCAUAACUGGACAUCUUUCGAGCUGAAGAUUGAGGACAGCUUUUGUAUGCUAACGUUCUCUCCUUAACAGUUUUACUGGAUGGAAACACAGCAAGAAAACACAUAGGCCAAUAUGUAAUAGUCGUCUAUUUUAUUGAAGUAUUGGUAGUUGGUUCAACAACAACUUGUUUUACUAGAGGACAAAAAAUUGAAUAUGCAUAACCCAUA